AUUGAACGCUGGCGGCAUGCUUUACACAUGCAAGUCGAACGGCAGCGCGGGCUUCGGCCUGGCGGCGAGUGGCGAACGGGUGAGUAAUACAUCGGAACGUGCCCAGUAGUUGGGGAUAGCUCGGCGAAAGCCGGAUUAAUACCGCAUACGACCUGAGGGUGAAAGCGGGGGAUCUUCGGACCUCGCGCUAUUUGAUCGGCCGAUGGCAGAUUAGCUAGUUGGUGGGGUAAAGGCCUACCAAGGCGACGAUCUGUAGCUGGUCUGAGAGGACGACCAGCCACACUGGGACUGAGACACGGCCCAGACUCCUACGGGAGGCAGCAGUGGGGAAUUUUGGACAAUGGGCGAAAGCCUGAUCCAGCAAUGCCGCGUGUGUGAUGAAGGCCUUCGGGUUGUAAAGCACUUUUGGCGGGAACGAAAAGGACUGUGCCAAUACCACGGUUCGAUGACGGUACCCGAAGAAUAAGCACCGGCUAACUACGUG
This 484-nucleotide ribosomal RNA is filed under the name uncultured bacterium. Its description in RNAcentral is "partial 16S ribosomal RNA". It matches the Rfam family "Bacterial small subunit ribosomal RNA", at positions 30 to 507 of the family's 1533-position model. The record is from RNAcentral.